UUUUUUGGGGAGAUGAUGGAAUGAAGAGAAAGGGGAAAAAUGAGAGGGGAAAUUCCGACUGCGGGUGCUAAAAAAAUAAAGAAGACGGCGACGAUGAUGAAGAUGAAGACGAAGAUGACGAUGAGAAUGGAGGGAGUAGGUUACGAGGAGCUUAAAAGGAGCCACGCAGUUGCGGCAACCAUACGCUACUAUGGGGGAUAGAGGCAUAGGCACCGGCAUAGCUUUGGUUUCUCGUUUAUUCUCUUUCUUCCUUUCACGCUUUCACACUUG
This 270-nucleotide unclassified non-coding RNA is filed under the name Hevea brasiliensis (rubber tree). Lineage: Eukaryota; Viridiplantae; Streptophyta; Magnoliopsida; Malpighiales; Euphorbiaceae. The record is from RNAcentral.